AUCGCUCAACUGCAACAGAAUUUAUUCGAAAUGCCUCUUAAGACUAAUAUAUUUCACAUUUAAUUUUGUACAGUUUUGGGGUAAACAUGACGAGGUAACUGGAAACGAAAAUAGAAAUGAAUUUCUAGACUAAGUAGAUAUUUCAACAAUCGAACAUUUACCUUAGGGAUUGUUGCGCGUUCAAACACAUUGAAAGCUUUGCCGUAAUAUUUGUUCCGAAAGUCGAUCGCUACGAGAUUAUUAUAUUUCCAGCACUUGUCACAAUUGCAGCAGAAAAUGUUGCAACUUCUAACGCCGCAGCAAGGUGUCGGAAUUUUAAAGUCGCCGCAGAGUUCGCUAUAGCACAAUGUUGGAUCGCCGUAAUAUAAUUGUUUGCCAUUAGGAAACUCAGUGCAUCGUGUUGGGUAUCUGACGCUAUAACACAGCAUUGUUGCCAGACAGCAGUAUCCUUUCU
Drosophila sulfurigaster albostrigata is the source of this 454-nucleotide long non-coding RNA. RefSeq lists it as uncharacterized. Lineage: Eukaryota; Metazoa; Arthropoda; Insecta; Diptera; Drosophilidae. The transcript has 3 exons. The record is from RefSeq and is a predicted model, not a curated record.